CCUACGGGGGGCUGCAGUGGGGAAUAUUGCACAAUGGGGGAAACCCUGAUGCAGCGACGCCGCGUGAGUGAAGAAGUAAUUCGUUAUGUAAAGCUCUAUCAGCUGGGAAGAAAAUGACGGUACCUGAGUAAGAAGCCCCGGCUAACUACGUGCCAGCAGCCGCGGUAAUACGUAGGGGGCAAGCGUUAUCCGGAUUUACUGGGUGUAAAGGGAGCGUAGACGGCAGUGCAAGUCUGGAGUGAAAGGCGAGGGCUCAACCCACGGACUGCUCUGGAAACUGUACAGCUGGAGUGCGGGAGAGGUAAGUGGAAUUCCUAGUGUAGCGGUGAAAUGCGUAGAUAUUAGGAGGAACACCAGUGGCGAAGGCGGCUUACUGGACUGUAACUGACGUUGAGGCUCGAAAGCGUGGGGAGCAAACAGGAUUAGAUACCCCAGUAGUC
This 440-nucleotide ribosomal RNA is filed under the name uncultured bacterium. RNAcentral describes it as "partial 16S ribosomal RNA". It matches the Rfam family "Bacterial small subunit ribosomal RNA", at positions 338 to 795 of the family's 1533-position model. The record is from RNAcentral.